Molecule: long non-coding RNA, 7154 nt
Filed under: Sus scrofa (pig)
Lineage: Eukaryota; Metazoa; Chordata; Mammalia; Artiodactyla; Suidae
Description: lncRNA (ENSSSCG00035056268.1)
Source: RNAcentral
CCACAACGGGAGCUCCUGUAAUAACUUUUGAAAUCAGGAAGUCCUCCAACGUUGUCCACUUUCAAGACAUUUUGACUAUUCCAGGUGACUUGAAAUUCCUUAUGCAUUUUAGCAUGUUUUCUUCUAUUUCUGCAAAAACAUGCCAUGGGGAUUUUCAGAGACUGUAUUGAAAGAGUACAUCCCUUUGGGUAGUACCACCAUCUUAACAAGAUUAAGACUUUCAACAUAUGAACACACAUCUUUUCAUUUAUUUAGAUCUUCAUUAAUUUCUUUCAGCAACAUUUUAUAAUGUUCAGUAUACAAGUCUUUUAUCUCAUCGGUUAAAUUUAUUCCUAGGUAUUUGAGUCUUUAGGUACUAACUGUAAAUGCAACUGCUUUCUUAAUUUCCUUUUCAGAUUGCUCACUGCUGGUAUACAGAAAGAACUGAUUUUUGUGUGAUCUUGUACCCUGCAAUUUUACUGAAUUCAUUCAUUAGUUCUAGUAGCUUUAUUGCUGACAUUCUGCAUCUAUUUCUACUUAAUGUAUGUGUAUGCAUGCCUCCCUCCGUAUCUGUCAGCUGGGGCAGUUAGCUUCUACCGACGAAAAGUGGGAGAUAAAUGAGCUGUGGUCCAUACCCAAAUGGGAAACUCAGGCAAGAGGCGAUGUUAAAGUCCCAACCUCUAGUACCACAGAAGGUGGCCUUACAUGGAAAGAAGAUCACAGCAGAUGUAAAUUGGUAGAUGACAUCACAGUGGAGUAGGCUGGGCCCUUAAUCCAGGACGAAUGGUCUCCUUAAAACAGAAAAAGGCCAGGGUGGGGGGAAGCACUGAGCGUUUGGGAGGGAAAUGCUAUAAAAUUUGGUUGUGAUGAUUGUUGUACACCUAUAAAUGUAAUAAUAUUCAUUAAGUAAUUUUAAAAAUUAAAAAAUAAAAGUGGUUUACAUCAUGGGAAAAAAAAUCCAAAAAACAAGAAAAGGCCAUACCAAGACAGAGACACACAGAUAAGACAGACCUAUGACCACAGAAGAAGAGAUUACAACGAUGCAUUUCUAAGCUAAGAAAUGCCAAGGAUUGCCAGAAAACACCAGAAGCUGGAAGAGGAAAGGAAGGAAUUCUGCCUCAAAACUGUAACUUAAAAUUCUGAGUUUCUAGUCUACUGGACUGCCCUACAAGUUUCGGACUCAAGAUGCAACAGCAACUCUUGUCUGAGUUUCCAGAAAACUCAGACAAAAGUAACUUGUCCAGUAACUCAGAAAACUCAGAAACGAUGAAGUAGGCAGUUUGUUUUUGGUGACCUCCACUCACUCUUUUCCCCCAUUUUCCUAAAUGUUCCCAUAAUUUCUGUAUCAAUCAAGUUUCUCUAGAGAAGUAGAACCAAUGUUUACUCAUUCAUUCAUUUAAAGGAAUUGAUUUACAUGAUUGUGGGAGCUGAUUAGUCUAAAACAUGAAGGCAGUCUCUUUAAUAUAAAUUUUAUUGGAGUAUAGUUGACUUACGAUAUUAGUUUCAGAUGUACAGCAAAGAGUGUAAGUCACAUACAUAUGUCAUACAUAUGUCAUACAUAUGUUCUUUUGUAGAUUCUUUCCCACAUAGAUUGUCACAAAACUUUGAGUAGAUUUCCCUGUGCUAUAUAGUUAAGUCCUUUGUUAGUUUCUAUUUUACACAUGGCAGUGUGUCAUGCUUGAUUUUUCGAGGGACAUUUUUAGGUCUGAACAACCAAAUAAGCAGGAUGGUCAACAGAUGAUCUGAGUUCAAUAAAGAGACUUGGCCUGGAGUGAUCACCAAAGACAAAAACUAGCAGAGGAAACCAAAUCAAGAGGGAGCACAGAGAGGGCAGCUUUCCAGAAGACAGAACAAAACUAACGAGACCAAAAUUCCGGAAGGAAACCUUAUCAAACUUACAACCUUUUGCACAGCAAAGGAAACCAUUAAAGAGAAAAUUUUUAAAAAUAAAAAAAUAAAAAAAAACACGAAAAGACAAUCUACAGAAUGGGAAAAAACAUUUGCAAAUGAUGCAACCAACAAGGGGCUUAAUCUCCAAAAUAUACAAACAACUCAUACAACUCAACAACGAAAAAACAACCCAACUGAAAAAUGGGCAGAAGACCUAAAUGGACAUUUCUCCAAAGAAGACAUAUACAUGGUCAAGAGGCACAUGAAAAGAUGUUCAACUAUUAGAGAAAUGCAAAUCAAAACUGCAAUGAGGCACCAACCACCUCACACCAGUCAGAAUGGCCAUCAUUAAUAAGCCUACAAAAAACAAAUGCUGGAGAAGGUGUGGAGAAAAAGGAACCCUCCUACACUGUUGGUGGGAAUGUAAAAUCGCAACAACCACUGUGGAAAACAGUAUGGAAGUUCCUCAGAAAACUAAAUAUAGAACUACCAUAUGAUCCAGCAGUCCCACUCCUGGACAUAUAUCCGGACAAAACUGUCAUUCAAAAAGAUACAUGCACCCCUAUGUUCCGUGCAGCACUAUUCACAAUAGCCAAGACAUGGAAGCAACCUAAAUGUCCAUCGACAGAUGAAUGGAUUAAGAAGAUGCAGAUGCACAUAUACAACGGAAUAUUACUUAGCCAUAAAAAAGAAUGAAAUAAUGUCAUCGGCAGCAACAUGGAUACAGCUAGAGAUUCUCAUACUAAGAGAAGAAGAAAAAGACAAAUACCAUAUGAUAUCACUUACAUGUGGAAUCUAAAAUAUAGCACAAAUGAACCUAUCUACAAAACAGAAACUCCCUCACAUAGAGAAAAGGCUUGUGGUUGCCAAGGGGAAGGGAGUGGGAUGGACUGGAAAUUUGGGGUUAGUAGAUGCAAACUAUUAUAUUUAGAAAGGAUAGACAAGGAGGUCCUACUGUACAGCACAGGGAACUAUAUCCAAUCUCUCGGCAUAGACCAUGAUGGAAGAUAAUGAAAGAAAACUAAUGUGCAUACAUAUGGCCCAUAUAUGACAAGAUCACUUUGCCACACAGCAGAAACUAGCACAACACUGUAAAUCAACUAUACUUUAAUAAAAUAAUUAAUGUUUUUAAAUUCCAUCAGAACUUUUGGGGAACAAGCAGAUCACUGUGAAAUGAAUUCACAUGGGGAGUAAUGGACAGGCAUGGCUGGAAUAUUUCGCAGAGAACCCUGAAUGCCAGGUUGAGUCAUCUCUUCUGCGUGCUACAGAGUGCAGGUGAAGGUUUUUUACAAAGAAGUUUCAAAAGAAUAGCUGACCAAGUGGGGAUCAAGCAUAGGAAGAGAAGACAGAUCUGAGGUGGUCAUUGGGGGAGAGAGGGGACUUGUGCCUAGUGAUGCAAAUAAACAGUUAGAGCUGGGGGCGGGGGGUCUCUUUAAUUUUUUUUCCUGGCCACACCCACAGCAUGUGGAAGUUCCUGGGCCAAGGAUGAAACCCGAGCCACAGCGGUGACAAAGCCAAGUCCUUAAUCCCUAGGCCCCAGGGAACUCCUGGGGGGGAGGGGGCGGCCUGCUUUGUAAAGAUUCAUCUUAACAAAGUUUAAAACAUUUUAAAACAUAGGUUCUCUAAGAAUUUAACUGGCUUCUUGCUUUUAGAAUGCCUAAAAACAGAAAAGGAGUCUUUCAUAUUAAAAAUCAACGAAAAAGGCAAAGGAAUAUUCAAGAGAGCUUGAACUUCAUUAAAAAAAAAAAAGUUACGCUGCAACACAAAGAAAACAGUAACUAUAAUACACAAACUCUAUAAAUCCUCUAAAUGCAUUAUGAUAAACCACAAAACAAGGCAAUGGAUUAUUAAUUUCAUUUGGCAAAGACAGAAAUUGAGACUGAGGAUAGCCAAGGUCUCACAGUCAGUAAAGAACUGAAUGGCUCUGAAGUCAAUGAUGAUUCUAGUAAACCUAUCUCCUCCCCAAAUGAAAACACCCUGAGGAAGUUCCCUGUGGCAGGCAGGUUAAGGAUCUGGUGUUGCCACAACUGUGGCAAAGGUUGCAAUUGAGGCAUAGGCUCAAUGCCUGGCCCAGAACUUCCACAUGCCGCAGGUGUACCUCCCCCCAAAAAUGAAAACACCCUGAAAAACCUCCAUAUCCAGAGGAAUAUAAAAAGAUGACUGAGGAACUUCCCCUAAAGUAGAUGCUUUGAACAAAACAGGUGGGUAUAACAAAAUAUUUUACUUCCACUAUACAAAAUAACAUUGGCAACCUACUGUAACUAAAAGGCCCACAUACUAGAGAAAAAUUUUAAAUAUUAUUUGCACAUCACAUUUAAAAAGGAAUCAGAAAUAUAUGAAAGUGUCUACCUCACGACACCAUGUAGCCAAGUGAUUAAUCCCUUCACCCCUACCAAACUGUAAGCAUUAAGGGAUAGGGUCUGUCUAUGCACAUCUUCACUUCUUUAUAACUUGUUUUUGAGGAUUCAUCUUACUGGGCCUUUUACUAACUUUGGAAUCACAAGCAAGAAGAAUCAUGGAGGAAGUGGAUCAUGACAAGGAAGUUUAGUCUUAAUUCUAAGGGCAAUGGGAAGCCACUGAAGUGUUUCAGACACAAGACUGAGCUGAUAAAACCUGAAUUUCAGAAAGAUCUGCUGUACAGAUCACAAACUGGAUGGGGAGAUAGAUAAUGCAGUAUCAGACAAUCCAGCAACACAUAUAUUAAAAUGUAACACAGGAAAAAACAGGUUCAAGGAUCUGAAUAUGAUUCACUGCCAAGACUCCCAUGGUCACCCAGGGAAGCAAAGCAAUCCUAACACACACACACACACACACACAUCAACUAACCACUUAAUAAAAUUCAUCCCUUUCAAACAUCCUUCCUAAGGUAACAGUAGCUUCUGUCAGUCCCUCAAUGAUGGCAAAUAUUUCGAUUACAAAACAACACUGUGGAUCACUAUAAGGUAAAAGUGCAAACCUUCCAACAGAUGCAGGUCUUUACAAAGGGACUAAAAAUGAUGAGAACUGUGUCCAACUACUGGCAAAGCCACCAGCAAAAAUGAAAACUGGAGACAGACACUGACUAGGAAGGAGAGUCAGGGCACUUAAGGGAGUGAUAAGUACGUUCUGUAUCCUGAGCUGGUUGGGAGCUACACAGAUGUAUCUGUAGUAAAAAUCCAUCACCCUGUAGAUAUGCUUAUGAUUAAUACAUUUAGCUGCAUGUAAAUUACACAGGGGGGAGGACAAAAGGAGAUGGUCCUUCUUCCCAUAAAAAUUACUGGUUCUUGGAGUUCCCGUCGUGGUGCAGUGUUAAUGACUCCGACUAGGAACCAUGACAUUGUGGGUUUGAUCCCUGGCCUUGCUCAGUGGGUUAAGGAUCCGGCACUGCCGUGAGCUGUGGGUGUAGGUCACAGAUGAGGCUCGGAUCCCGCGUUGCUGUGUCUGUGGUGUAGACCAGAGGCCACAGCUCCAAUUAAACCCCUAGCCUGGGAACCUGAAUAUGCCGCGGGUGUGGCCCUAGAAAAAGACAAAAAAAUAAAAGAAUCCGAAAAUAUAAAUAAUGCCCCUGGGCUUUAUUAAUGAAGCCCCUGAAUAUUUUGGCAAAAAUGGCUUUAAGAGUUCCCUGUAGCUCACUGAGUACUUACUGCCUAAAACACUUCCCAUAUUAGCCAUUUCAUACUCCUCUGGUUAAGGAUCUGGUGUUGUCACUGCAGCGGCCUGGUGGCUACUGCAAUGCAGGUUCGAUCCCAAGCCCAGGAACUUCCACAUGCCGCAGGCAUGGCCAAAAAAAAGACUUUCUUAAGGGAAGUCCAUCAUAAAUGAAGGAUAUAAUUUCAUGACAUUUUGCAAUUCUUAAAAAAAAAUUAUGCAAAGCAAGCAACCAAUACUUGAUUCAUUCUUAUUCCAUUUUAAGAAUUUUACACAUAGUAGCAACUAUUAUAUGAAUGUUUCCAUAAUUUUGUUUCAUUUUUCAAGAUUAAACCCAAAUAAAGUCUUUUCUCCCCACUCCUGCUAUCUCUGAAAUGUUGCUUCUACUCUAGGUCAAUUCAUUCUACAUGGCCUUGUUCUUGUACCCAUUAUUUUCAGAAAAUAAAGAACUUUUAUAUGAUGAAAUCACAAGAAAAAUCAGUUAUUCACUCAUACAUCAACAUUUAGAAAUUCAAACACAGAUCUCAGUUCAUAAAAAUUAACCAUUACAGGACUUCCUCUGUGGUGCAGCAGGUUAAGGAUCUGGCAUUGUCACUGCAGCAGCUCAGACUGCUGCCAGGACACAGGUUCAAUCCCUGGCCCAGGAAACUUGUGCAUGCAUCAUGUGCAGACAAAAAUAAAAUUUUUUUAAAUUAAAAAAAAAAAAAAUAACGAUUACAGAGAUAUCCUAGCAUACUGGUUAAAACCAGGGGCUCUGGAACCAGACUGCCUGGGAUGGAAUUCUAGUUCCACUGUUUACCAUUGGGUGACCCUGGGCAAGUUACUUAACCCUCUGUGACUCAGCUUCCUCAUUCAUAAAACGGGGAUAACAACUGUUCCUACUGUAUAAUGUGUAAGAAGAGUAUUAAAUGGCUAAUAUGGGAAGUAUUACAGGCAGUAAGUACUCAGUAAUCUGAAUCUAUGAACUCUAAGAAAUCAAAAUCUAAGAAAACUGAGUAAUAUAAAUGCCACCAUUAGAACUGAGUCACUGGUAAAGGAAAAACUUUUUUUUUUAAUUUAUCUAUUUGAGGGCCACACUCACGCCACCUGGAAAGUCCCAGACUAGGGGUCAAACUGGAGCUGCAGCUGCCGGCCUACGCCACCAGCAACGCCAGACCCAAGUCACAUCUGCUACCUACACCUCAGCUCAUAGCAAUGCCGGAUCCUUAACCUACUGAUCAAGGCCAGGGAUGGAACCAACAUCCUCAUGGAUUAAUAGCAGGGUUCAUUACUGCAGAGGCACAAUAGGAACUCCCAGGGAAAACUUAAGUCACAAGCUUUAUGUUUAAGUUUAAGUGCAUACUUUUUUGGCCAUGACCCCAACACAUGGAAGUUCUUGGGCCACGGCUCAAACCUGUGCCACAGAAGUGUGACAAUGCUGAAUCCUUAACCACAAGGCCACCAGGGAACUCCCAUACACUUUAAAUAAAAUUAAGACAAAGAAAAAUGAGAACAGAUAAACUUACAAUAAAAAUGAGCUGAAAGCUUAAUUUCUAAACAUGUAAGAACUUAUAAAAAGGACUGUAUCAAACCUACUUAACUAAAAACUAAAGUGUUGCUGUACUUCACUAAAGAUGAAAUUAAAAGUCUGAAUAUACGGAUUAAAAAAAAAAAAGAAU